ACGCUCGGGAGCCUGACAUUCAUAGGCGCUGAGGCUACGGCCUCACCCGGCGU
RNAcentral lists this non-coding RNA (53 nucleotides) under Ochrobactrum sp. EGD-AQ16. Lineage: Bacteria; Pseudomonadati; Pseudomonadota; Alphaproteobacteria; Hyphomicrobiales; Brucellaceae. The record is from RNAcentral.